RNAcentral lists this ribosomal RNA (243 nucleotides) under uncultured bacterium. Its description in RNAcentral is "partial 16S ribosomal RNA". It matches the Rfam family "Bacterial small subunit ribosomal RNA", at positions 534 to 776 of the family's 1533-position model. The record is from RNAcentral.
GCAAGCGUUGUUCGGAAUUACUGGGCGUAAAGCGAGUGUAGGUGGUUGUCGUAGUCAGGUGUGAAAGCCUUGAGCUCAACUCAAGAAAUGCACUUGAUACUGGGCAGCUAGAGGACUGGAGAGGAUAGUGGAAUUCCCAGUGUAGUGGUGAAAUACGUAGAGAUUGGGAAGAACACCAGUGGCGAAGGCGGCUAUCUGGACGGUUUCUGACACUAAGACUCGAAAGCGUGGGGAGCAAACAGG